Molecule: long non-coding RNA, 28908 nt
Filed under: Populus trichocarpa (black cottonwood)
Lineage: Eukaryota; Viridiplantae; Streptophyta; Magnoliopsida; Malpighiales; Salicaceae
Description: long non-coding RNA (PTRI_LNC002684)
Source: RNAcentral
GAGAAGUUGAGCAACUUGGAGGUGAAUAAAAAUGGGAAGUGCCUUCUAGACAUAUCAAUUCCUAUUCCAAAUAGUAUAUUCUUCAGGAAAGGUGAGAUAGGCGACUGGGCAAAUCACUUGACACCUGAAAUGGGAGCACGUCUAGAUGACAUAAUGGAGCGGAAGCUCAAGGGUUCAGGCUUGAAGCUGCCCAGGUGACUGUGCCUGGGCCCCGUUUGCUUAUUAUUAUUGGCUUAGUGGGUUCGUCAAAAGCUGUUAUCAACAUCUCGUGAAACAGCAACCGUGUAUCCCAAUAAAUACCCUCUCUGUUCAUCUCUUGUAUUUCCUAGCAAGUAUUCACAUUUUGUGAAUCAUCCAUGUCAAUAAGCAAUAUUCUUUUGUGAAUCUGUGUUUGUAACUUUCAUUGAUUUCCUUGCAAGUUUGUAAGAAUUAAAAAUGGGAUUCGUUUUUUAUUUAUUUAUUUAACACAAGUGCAUGCAUUCCAUUAAUCAGUGAUAAAAAAAAAUAAAAUUACUCUACUAUAUAAUAUUAGAGUGUUUUCUUCACAGAAAUUGCAGUGUGUUUUCUUCACACUGCAAUACAUGUUUUAAAAGAACCGAGACAACCAUACAUGAGGGCGGAGCAAAUACCAACCGAGACAACCAUCCAUUAAGAUUGUUGAAUUGAAGAUCAAAUGAACAUAGGCGGCACAUCUGCUGAAAGGAUCUCGAAAUGCCUUGUAAUUGGUUAAAAUAAAGAUCAAGAUCUGUAGGAGAACUCGUGUUUUCCACUCCUAAAAUAAGCCCAGUUGCCGGCUUCAUGUGCAACAGAGGCACAUAGAGAAUCUCCCCCCCCCCCCCUCCAGGCUCAGAUCACAAAUCUUCUUACUUCAAACCAAUCUUUUGGAACCGAUAUAUAUGUCGAGUGAUGGCUUGAUUUAUACCGGAGAUUGUGUUGGAAAAUUAAAGAAGCAUGGCUUAAUUUGUACCUUGGAUGCGCAAAUUGAUUACAGGAAAAUAUCAAAAAAAAAUUUCCUUUCUUUAUAACUUAUGAAGAGUAAAAUAAAAAAAAAGUUAAUAGUAAAACAAAAUAACCCCAAGUGUACAUUAUCAAUGCAAAACUAGAUUUUUCCUUAUUUUAUAUCCCUUUCUUUUGAUAUACUUCUUCUUUUAUGCCCCUUUCUUUUGGUAUAUCUCUUCUUUGUAUCUUUUGGUGUUAAUCACUUUGUUGAAUGCCUCUGUUGAUAUCUUUUAUAACUCACUACAGUGAUUUGAACAUUGAAAAUGUUUCCUUUUAAAAAAAAAAAAUAGAGAAGGCAUUUUGAUUUCAUCUUCAAUUUUUCUGCAUGUCUUCUUCUUUCAAAGUAUUGGGUUUAAAACACAAUCAUGCUCUACAUCAUGCUUUGAGUUUUCCAGGUUAUUUUCAGAAAGAUUUGAUAUAUUUGACCUGAAAGAAAAAAAGGAUGUACAAAGCUUUGCAUUUCUGGAACGUCUUUUCAUCAUGCUCUACAUGAUUCAAUCACAUUGCUCACAUCUACAUGAGUAACCAGAAAAGCAAGUAUUUCAUCGGAUUCUACAUGAUUCGAUCACUUCGCUCACAGCUUUAUGAGUCUCUGGUGAUAUCGUGUUUAAUUAAAUAGAAUAUUUAUUAUAAGAAACAGAUUUAUCAAAUAUAAUUGAGUAUAUGCCUCAUCAUAUCAAAUAUUUUAAUUAGAUGUAACUAUCUAGGUGGUGGUUCAGUGGUAAAAGUUUGGGACCAAGAUGUUUGUUCCCUCUGUGGUCUCAGGUUCGAGCCCUGUGGUUGCUCAUAUGAUGGUCAUUGGAGGCUUACAUGGUCGUUAACUUCAGGGCCCGUGGGAUUAGUCAAGGUGCACGCAAGCUGAUCCGGACAUCCAUGUUAAACUAAAAAAAUAUAUAUAUUUUAAUUAGAUGCGUGUGUACAAGUAUUUUAAUUUAUGAUUAAGAAUUUUUUUAUAUCAAAAAAAAAUUAAAAAGUCUGUAUAUUUAUUUUUCCUUGUUAAAACAAUUAUCUGAAAUAGCCAGUAAUCAACUAACUAUGAAAGAUAAGAUUGAGAAUUGAGAAGUUUAUUUGUCAGCAGACAGUAGCUUCAGUAGAUGGAAAAAGACUCUCUAGAUCACCGGAUCAAUUCCCACCUUCAUGAACUAUUUUUUAUUAGUACAGAAAGCUUCAUAUCAGUCAAAACUCUCUCUCUCUCUCUCUCUCUCUCUCUCUCUCUCUAAAUGGAUCAGAGACUACACAAAUAUAGAGGUGGAGCUUCACAUUAAGCUUCAGAUCAAUUUUCUAUUUUAAAAUCUCAUAAGUUUGGUCCAUUGAUUGCCCUAGAUUGCCCUAGAUUUUCCUGUGUUUUAUAUCCUUUUCUUUUGACAUUUUUUUUAAUCUUUUUCCAGGCCAAAAUCCUAAUUUAAUGUUUGAAAUUGAGAUGAUAAUUAUUUAACUAGAAAAUAUAUUAAAAUAAUAUUUUUUAUUUUUAAAAAUUUAUUUUAAUCAUCACCACAUUAAAACAAUCUAAAAUUAUAUAAAAAAAUUAAAAUAAUAAGAUUUAAAAAUAUUUUUUAAACACAAAAACAAACACAAUCAUCACUCAUAUAUCAUGAGAUUUGCAUUUAGACAUUAAAAUUCAAGAAGAAAUUAAGUUCACCGUACUAUUAAUUCAGUCGAUGAAGGAUUAGUCCCAACUACUUUAGGCCACCAUUAAUUACUUUAUUUAAAUGUAUACUUCUUUAUUAAUUCAGUCGAUGAAGGAUUAGUCCCAACUACUUUGGGCAUUUUAACUCCAUCUUCAAUUACUUUAUUUAAAGGUAUCCUUCUUUCUUAGAUAUUGAAUUUUGAAAACACAAUCAUGCUAAAGAUUUGUCAACGAAUUGUUUUUUAAAAUAAAAAAAUAUUUUAAAAAAUAAUUAAUACCAUACUACCGAGCAAAUGAAGUUAUGUGGAGGGUUCCGCACCAUUUAAAGGUUGUAAAGAAAGGUUUAAAACACAAUGACGAUAAAGAUUUGCUAUCGAAUAUAAUAUGAAAUAAUAAUACCCAAUUGCAUCAGCGGACAUGUGAUCAACAAUAUUAAAAUUCUGUAAAUUUUGAUUUAAUUCAAUUAUUGGAAUUCCAGGCAGCGUGGCAAUGUCAGAAAAUCUUGGACGAUGGUGACUAAAUGUUUGUAAAUGGAGACGGCACGUUCGCGGAAGGUAAUAGUCGAUGGUGCCAAAAAUUAAAUCAGCUCUCAACUCGUUACAAAUAGCUGCCAUGGCCUUUCAUUCUACAUUAUUUUUUCUUUUUUCACAUUCAUGGAAUCCUCUUUGCCUUCCACCCAAAUCUUGGAUUCUGGUGAAAGUGCUGAGAGGAAAAAUGAAGCUAAAAAUUACAAUGAAGUCAUGUCCACCCUUCCAAAAGUAAAAGGCUUGAAUGGGUGUGAUUAUUACCUGUACCAAUGCUUUUGGUACGAUCCCUCCUUCUUGGAAGGAAUCAUGUCUGUUCAAGAGCGCUUCAAUCCUCAAUCCACUGAUAUAUUUCUCGCCAGUUUUCCAAAAACUGGCACAACUUGGCUUAAGGCCCUCACUUUUGCUAUUUGUACACGAUCCCGUUUAAGUGGUUCAACAACUAGUUCUUUACUUUCCAAGAUGCCACAUGACUGUGUUCCUUUUAUGGAAUAUGACCUUGCUCAGAACCCAAGUAAUCGGGACUUGGCAAUUCCUCUGGUAUCUACUCAUGUUCCUUACACUUGUUUACCUAAAUCUAUCAUUUCUUCUUGUUGCAAGAUUAUUUACAUUUGCAGGGACGCAAAGGAUGUUUUUGUUUCUUUGUGGUACUUUCUUGCCAGGCUGCAAAUGUCUGAAAAUGUUGAGCCUCUUCUUCUGGAAGAGGCUUUUGAGUUGUUUUGCAAUGGAAUUGCAAAUUUUGGACCCUACUGGAACCAUGUUUUAGGGUACUGGAGAGCAAGCUUGGAGUUCCCCGAGAAGAUACUGUUCUUGACAUAUGAGGAAAUGAAGAAAGACACCGCUGCUCAUGUUAAGAAAUUAGCUGAGUUCAUGGGUUGUUCUUUCACCCUAGAGGAAGAGGAGGAAGGGGAGGUGCAAAAGAUAAUAGGCAUGUGUAGUUUUGAGAAGUUGAGCAACUUGGAGGUGAAUAAAAAUGGGAAGUGCCUUCUAGACAUAUCAAUUCCUAUUCCAAAUAGUAUAUACUUCAGGAAAGGUGAGAUAGGCGACUGGGCAAAUCACUUGACACCUGAAAUGGGAGCACGUCUAGAUGACAUAAUGGAGCGGAAGCUCAAGGGUUCAGGCUUGAAGCUGCCCAGGUGACUGCGCCUGGGUCCCAUUUGCUUCUGAUUAUUGCCGAAGUGGGUUCAUCAAAAGCUGUUAUCAACAUCUCGUGAAACAGCAACUGUGUAUCCCAAUAAAUACCCUCUCUGUUCAUCUCUUGUAUUUCCUAGCAAGUAUUCACAUUUUGUGAAUAAUCCAUGUGAAUAAGCAAUGUUCUUUUGUGAAUCUGUGUUUGUAACUUUCAUUGAUUUCCUUGCAAGUUUGUAAGAAUUAAAAAUGGGAUUCGUUUUUUAUUUAUUUAUUUAACACAAGUGCAUGCAUUCCAUUAAUCAGUGAUAAAAAAAAAAAAAUUACUCUACUAUAUAAUAUUAGAGUGUUUUCUUCACAGAAAUUGCAGUGUGUUUUCUUCCCACUGCAAUACAUGUUUUAAAAGAACCGAGACAACCAUACAUGAGGGCGGAGCAAAUACCAACCGAGACAACCAUCCAUUAAGAUUGUUGAAUUGAAGAUCAAAUGAACAUAGGCGGCACAUCUGCUGAAAGGAUCUCGAAAUGCCUUGUAAUUGGUUAAAAUAAAGAUCAAGAUCUGUAGGAGAACUCGUGUUUUCCACUCCUAAAAUAAGCCCAGUUGCCGGCUUCAUGUGCAACAGAGGCACAUAGAGAAUCUGAAAGCAGUUUUUAUGCACUAUCAGCAGAAUAAUUUGAUCAGUCAGAAUGAUCCCCCCCCCACUAGGCUCAGAUCACAAUUCUUCUUACUUCAAACAAAUCUUUUGGAACCGAUAUGUGGAGGGAUGGCUUGAUUUAUACCGGAGAUUUUGUUGGAAAAUUAAAGAAGCAUGGCUUAAUUUGUACCUUGGAUGCGCAAAUUGAUUACAGGGAAAAAAAUGACAGAAAGUGAGUUGCAGGGAAUGAAAAAGGCAUUAGUAAACUCAACAGCUUGCAGGGCAUCGUUCCUUGGUUUACUCCGUUUUAUUUCUUAUUUUGUUUUUCCUGCCAUUGUCUUAUGUUUGUCUAACUCGCAGUCUGGUCUCUGCAGAGAAUGAGAAAGCACAGACUCUUUAAGAGAAGAUAUUCUCCGGCAAUGGCAUCAAACAGAAAAGUCCGACGUUAACUAAAUGAGUUCAUGGGUCUCUUGUCUGAAUAUAGAAGUGCAGAAACUAAGCUUGACCAAAAACCCCCAUGCUACCAACUACAACUCAACAAGCAACAAAUCAAAUGAAUUGUGAUCCGCCAGUAAACAGCGAAUGGACACUGCCCCAGCAAUAGAUCAUACAAGCUCUGACCAACCGGUCAAAGAUCACGAGGACCCUACCCACUGCCCACUGACUGACAAUUCAUCAAAUAGAUUUAUUGCCGUUCACCACCUUAUUUAGAUGUAUUUUUAAAUAAUAUCCGUGAACUCAAAAAAAAAUCACUCAAAUAUCUCCCUAGAAAACUGACCUUGAACUCUUAACUAGGAGAAAAACAAAGAGGAAAAAUAGAGCUUAUAACAUAGGAAACUACGCUGAAAACUGAGGUGAAAAAAAGUGUAAGAAAUUCUGUAAAAAUGUCCAGAAACACUUUUUAUCACUUUUUACAGAGGAUUUUGAAACCUAAACCAAUGUAGAUUUACUUUUAGUAAUUAUUAAAAAUUAAUUUUUAUCAUUAUCAAUCUUAAUUAUCCGUUAUAAAUUAAAAUUAACCUUAACCCUUUUAGCUUUAAAUAUAAUGCUUUGUUAGAAUUAUAAAAACCAUUCAAAUUGAAAAAAAUUGCUUAGGCUGAAAAAAGUGUUCAGACUCUAUAUUCAUUGACAGUACAAACUGAUGGAUUAGAAAGAAAAAAAAUAUAUAGGCCAAAAAAUUAUAAAUCCAAACCCAAGUUUAAAAUAUAUUGAUAAAAAUUAAUUAUUUAUAGUUUACAAUAAAAUCAGACUUGGGACAAGCAAGCCAAUUAAGCAUGGGACUUCAACUCAAAGUUUACUUUACUUAGGUUUUUUUUUUUAAUCUGAGUGUAUUUUAAUCCAAUUUUAAUUCUUUAUAUUUUUAAUAUAUAAUUAACAAUAAAAAUGUUGUUUUUUUUACGUGAAAUAAAGGUUUUGAAUUUCACAAAGAUAUAUUCAUCAACAAAAUUAAAUUUUUAUUUAUUUAUAAUUUAUUUUAAUUAUUUUAAUAUUUUAUGUUAAAGAGAUUUGGUUGGAGAAUAAGUUUCAAUAAAAUUUAAAUCCGAAAAAUAAGUAGAUUUUAUUUUUAAUUUUAUUUCAAAUAUAUUUAUUUUUUAUGUUUUAAAACAAAUUUUAUCUCAUCUAUGUAUGUAUAAAUAUAUAAUCACAAUUCUCAAUACAGCACUUAUAGUUAGUUAUCGAACGAAAGAAUGUUAUCUCUUUCAGUAUGCCACAGAUAUUCAAAACACGGCGGUCACCCUUAUUAGCUUGCAGUCGUCUAUCGAAGUAUUAUCGCCAAAUCCACAGAAGCAAGGCAAACCACAGUUUUCUCUAGUUAUAGGACUAGACGGUACUGCGCUAGACUGCAGGUUUACAAUAUUUUUUCGAUAAAAUAUUUAAAUCAUGAGAAAAUCAUGCAUGAUUAAAAGAGUAAAAUUCAAAUUAAAAAUAUCAAUACAUGACAAAAUAAAAUUAAAAAAAAUUAAAUAAAAUUUUUAUAAAAAAACUAGAAUAAAAGAGAGGACUGAAACCGAAAAAGUUUAAACAAAAAGGACAUACCUGCAAUUUGAGGGGGGGAGGGAGGAGGAGAAAAAAAAAGGUUCAUCAACAACGAACUGCUCGACCUUCACCUACAUGUAUCGCACCAUGAGAAAGAGGAAGCAGUGAUGCUUCCAACAACACAAUAAAAUGUUUAUUUUUACAACUAGAGGUAUUGCAUGCUAUACUUGAAGUGCUAGCUUUUUAAAUUUUAAUAUUAUUUAUUUUUUUGUUAAAAGAUUACAAUGCGCAAACUAAAAAGAAAAACAAUAUAAAAAGAUAAAGUAUAACCUUGACCUAAAGCUUUUCUUUUUCUUUUUACUUCAAGGAUAUUUAAGUAAGUUUAGUGUACAUUCAAAAGCAUUUAAUGAAAUACCCUUCGACCAAGGUUUUUUUUUUUUUUAAAGUAUAAGACACUUAACAAAAUAAUAAAUAACAAAAAUUAAAAACUUAAAAAGACAAAAAAUACCCUUCGACCAAGGUUUUUUUUUUUUACUCCAAAGCAUUUAAUGAAUCUCGCCCAUAACGACAGCAAGUCUUUAAAAAGUGGAUUUCCUGAUGAAACCUGGAUAGUAUCAGUGCCAGCUCGAGCUCAGAAUGCGGCAUCUAUUGAUUAACUUACCAGUUACCAACACAAGGAGACACACACAACAACUUUAAAAAGGGCAUUAUAUAGCUAAACAUUGAUUAUUAUUUUUAUUUCAUUUUUAAUAUUAUAUUAAUUUUAAAUAUAUAUAUUUUUAAUUUCUCCAUUCAAUAACAAGUUGAAAUUCAUAAUUUUAUUUAAUUCAUUUCUUAUAAUAAUUUUUUUCCCAUCGUUUAAUUAAAUAAAAUAUUUAUUAUAAAAAAUAAAAUUAUUAAACAUAAUUGAGUAUAUGGCUUGUAUUUUUAGGUUAAAUAUUGUAAUUAGAUGUGGGUAUAAGCAUUUUAAUUUAUAAUUAAAAAGAAAAACUAUAUCCAAAAAAGAAUUUAAAAAACCUGUAUAUUUAUUUUUCAAUUAUCUAACCUGCAGCAGUGAAGUGCAAUUGAAAUAGCUAGUAAUCUAACUAAAAAAUUUAAGAUAAGAUUAAGAAAUGAGAAGUUUAUUUGUCAGCAGACAGUAGCUUCAGUAAAUAGAAAAUAUAGACUGUACUGCUGCUGAUCCCGGGAUCAAUGCCCACCUUCAUGGAUUAUAUAUAUAUAUAUAUAUAUAUAUAUAUUCAAUGUGAGAUAUUAAGUCAUUUAGUACAUACUAGUUAGAUGACUUGUGCGGUGCUGCGAGUUAAUUUUUUUUGCAUAAAAAUAUAUAAAAAAACUAAAAUCUAAAAGUAUUAGGUCUUUUUGCAAAGUUAUACCCAAGAAUCUUGGGUUUGGCUGCAACGCCUGACCCAAGAGUAAUAUUUAUAAUAUUAAUUAUAACAUUAAACUUGCAUGACUCAAGUUUAAAUGAGUCUAGAUGCAAUACCAUACCCAAUAGUCUUGGAUGUGGGUCUGGCUGCAAGGUCGUGUAAUAAAAGUGUGAUAAUUAAAUAGAUUAAUUAAAAAUAAAAAAAACAAAGAAAAAAACAAACAUGAAGAAAAAAACUAAUGAAGAAAAAGAAAAAAAAUUUGAAUUAACUGGGUUAACCCUUCAAACCAGGUUAAUCCGUCAAACCUUGGAUUCGUGUCGUGAAAGUUUGAUAACUAAAUAAAAAAAAAAUGAACAUUAACAAACUAAAUUAAAUGAAAAAAAUAAUUAAAAAAAAAAGCAUCAGCCUUUUCACUGUGGACUGCACUGUGCAGUCCACAGUCAAAUGCAUAAAAACAACAAAAAAGCAAAAAGAAAAACUAAAGGCAUCAAUCGAUAACUAAAUAGAAAAAAAAUUUAAUAUUGAUGAACUAAAUUAAAUAAAAAAAAUUAAAUAAAAAGAAGAAAAAACUUAUAAGAAGAAAAAAACUAAUGAAGAAAAAGAAAAAAAAUCUAAAUUAACUGGGUUAACCCGUCAAACCUGAGAUCCGUGUCAUGAAAGUCUGACAACUAAAUAAAAAAAAUUUAAUAUCAAUAAACUAAAUAAAAAAAUUAAUUUAAAAAAAAGGCAUCAGCCUUUUCACCGUGGAUUGCACUGUGCAGUCCAUAGUGAAAGGCAUGAAAAUAAAAAAAACAAAAAAAAACUAAAGGCAUCAGCCUUUUCACUGUGGACUGCAUAGAAUAUUAAAAGAUGAAAUCGGAAGAACAAAACUAAUGAGGAAAAAGAAAAAAAAAAUCUGAAUCAACUAGGUUAAUCCGUCAAAUCAAGUUAACCCGUCAAACUUGAAAGUGUGAUAACUAAAUAGAAAAAAGAUUUAAUAUUAAUGAAAUAAAUUAAAAAAAGAUUAAUUAAAAAGGAAAAAAGCAAAGAGAAAAAAGACCAACAGGAAGAAAAAAACCUAAUGAAGAAAAAGGAAAAAAAUCUGAAUUAAGUGGGUUAACUGGUCAAACCUGGGAUUCGUGUCAUGAAAAUCUGAUAAUUAAACAGAAAAAAUUUAAUAUUAAGAAACUAAAUUAAAAAAAGACUAAUUAAAAAAAGACAAAAAAAAACUAAAGGCAUCAGCUUUUUCACUCUUAAAAAGGAAAAGAGAGAAAAAUAAAAACAAAAGCAAACGCCACGGGUUAAUUUUUUUUUUCUUGCAUAAAAAAUAUUAAAAAAAACUAAGAUCUAAGAGUAUUAGGUCUUUCUGCAAAGAUAUGCCCAAGAGCCUUUGGUUUAGUUGCAACGCUUGACCCAAGAGUAAUAUUUAUAAUAAUAAUAAUAAUAAUAAACUUACAUGACUCAAGUUUAAGUGAGUCUGGCUGCAAGGUCGUGUCAUAAAAGUGUGAUGAUUAAAUAUAUUAAUUAAAAAGAAAAAAACCAACAUGAAGAAAAAAACUAAUGAAGAAAAAGAAAAAAAUAUGAAUUAACUGGAUUAACCCUUCAAACCAGGUUAACCCGUCAAACCUGAGAUUCAUGUUAUGAAAGUUUGAUAACUAAAUAGAAAACAAAAUUGACGGGUUAACCUGUCAAGCCUGGGAUACGUGUCAUGAAAGUCUGAUAAUUAAAUAGAAAGAAAUUUAACAUUAACAAAAUAAACUAAACGAAAAAAAAUUAAUUUAAAAGAAAAAAAGUAAAAAAAAAAUUCUAGGUUAACUCAUCAAACCAAAUUAACCCAUCAAAUCCGGGAUCCGUGUCAUGAAAGUCUGAUAACUAAAUAAAAAAAAUAACAUUAACAAACUAAAUUAAACAAAAAAAAUUCAUAAAAGAAAAAAAAACACAGAAAAAAAACAAAAAAAACAUAAAGGCAAAAAAAACAAAAACAAAAUUAAGUGAGAAUUACUGAUGUGCUUUGCCAAGCUUUGCAACAGAAAUCUCAAGACAUUUUAAAUGCUAUGCAUUUGCUGACUACCAUAAAGACUUUAAUUCAGAAGUUAAGAGAUGAUGGAUUGGAAACUCUUUUAGAACAAGUGACAUCAUUUUGUAAGCAUAAAAACAUUGAAGUUCCUGAUAUGGAUGCUUGUUUUUCUAGUGUGGGACGAUCUCGCUGUAAAACAAAAUCAAUAACAGUUGAGCAUCACUAUCGAGUUGAUAUAUUUAUAGCUAUCAUUGAUCAAUAGUUGCAAGAGCUAAAUAAUAGAUUCUAUGAGCAGGCGAUCGAGCUUCUUAAGUUGAGCAUAGCUUUAGAUCCUAAAAAUAACUAUAAAUUAUUCAGUGUUGAAGAUAUAUGCUAACUUGUUGACAAGUUCUAUCCUGAAGACUUUUCUGACCAAGAAAAAACUCAUUUGAGAUUUCAGUUGCAGCAUUAUGAGCUUGAUGUACCCAAUCAUCCAAAGUUAAAGAAUAUGUCAUCGAUUGCUGAUUUAUGUCAAGGACUGGUUGAAAUAGAAAAAUCAACAAUUUAUCUACUCAUUGAUAAGUUGAUUCGACUUAUUUUGACUCUUCCUGUUUCGACAGCAACUACUGCACGAGCUUUUUCAGCGAUGAAGAUUGUUAAAACAAGACUUCGCAAUCGGAUGGAGGAUGAUUUUCUUGCAAAUUAUUUGAUUGUCUAUAUAGAAAAAGAAAUUGCUGAAAGAUUCACAAUUGAUAUGAUAAUCGAUGAUUUCUACUCCAUGAAAGAAAGACAAAAACAAUUAAAAUAAAUAUGUAAGAAUCAUUCUUUAUUACUUUUUAUUUUAUUUAAAAGUUUUAUCAAACAUAAAUAAUGUAUCGCUUUAGCUAAUGUUUCUUAUAUAUUUUGUAUGUUUAUAUUUGAUAGGUACAAAAACCAACAAAAUUAAAGUGAUGAAUACAUUAUGAAGAUGAAAUUAACUUCAUAGCUUUGACUUAAUUUGAUAUUUGCUUUAAACAUCUUAUCUUAUACAAAAAUCAUAAUAUGUUUGUAAUUACUUUUUUGAAUAAAACUAAAUCAUGUCGUUUUUGUUUUUGUUUUUAUUUUUAUUUUUAUGUAAAGUAAAUUUUUAAAUAAAUUAUAUCUUUUAUUAUUUUAACCCCCAUUCAAAUAAUCCCAGCCCCUGACCGCAAUAACAAUCAAAAUAAAAUCUAAUUCUACCGGCUGCUAAGAAUACUAAAAUAGUGUAAAUUUUGACUUAAUUCAAUUAUUAGAAUUCGGGGCAGAUAACAGUGUUGAAGAAAAUGUCAGAAAAGUAGGGUAAACAGUACAAAUACCUUGGAUGAUGGUGACUAACGCCGUUUGUUUACGCGGGCGCGGGUGCGGUUGCCUUUUAAUUAAUAAAUAUCGGUAGUUGGAGACUUCUUGUUCUCGAAAAGAAAUAGUUAAUAGUGCCAAUAAUUAAUCUGCUCUCAACUUGCUACAAGCUGUCAUUACUCAUUACCAAAAUAUUAAAGAAACAAAUAUUUCCUAUUAGUAGAAAAGCGAUCUAAUAAAGCGAUUGUUCAGUUGACGUUAUUGAAUUGCUUUUUUAUAAAAAGUUAAUUUUUAAAUAUUUAUAGAUUAUUUUAUAUAUAAAUUUAAAAAAAAUCUUAAAAAAUUUAAAAAUAUAUUUUAAUAUAAUUAAAAAAAACAUUUGAAAAACAAUUAAUAGUAUAGUCUCAGGUCUCAACCACCCAAAAUAUACAUUUGAAAAACAUUUUAUAUACCUUGGAUUAAAUUGUGUUGUAGGUUCCACACCAUUUAAAGCUUGCAAAGAAGGAUUUAAAACACAAUCACGCUAAAGAUUUGCAAUCCAAUAUAAUAUGAAAUAAAACCCCAUUGCAUCACCGGACAUGUGAUCAAUAAUAUUAAAAUACUGUAAAUUUUGAUUUAAUUCAAUUAUUAGAGCUUGAGGCAGCGUGACAAUGUGAAAGAAAAUGUCAGAAAAUCUUGGAUGAUGGUGACCAUAUCAGUAAUUUGAGACAGCAAGUUCUCGAAAGGUAAUAGUUGAUGGUACCAAAAAUUAAACCAGCUCUCAACUCGCUACAAAUAGCUGCCAUGGCCUUUCGUUCUACAUUAUAUUUCUUUUUUUACUUUCAUGGAAUCCUCUUUGCCUUCCACCCCAAUCUUGGAUUCUGGUGAAAGUGCAGAGAGGAAAAAUGAAGCAAAAAAUUACAAUGAAGUAAUGUACACCCUUCCAAAAGUUAAAGGCUUGAGGGGGAAUGAUUAUUACCUGUACCAAGGCUUUUGGUACUCUUCCUUCUUCUUGGAAGGACUCAUGUCUGUUCAAGAGCACUUCAAUCCUCAAUCCACUGAUAUAUUUCUCACCAGUUCUCCAAAAACUGGCACAACUUGGCUUAAGGCCCUCGCUUUUGCUAUUCUUACACGAUCCCGUUUAAGUGGUUCAACAACUAGUUCUUUACUUACCAAGAUGCCACAUGACUGUGUUCCUUUUUUGGAAUAUCACCUUGCUCAAAACCCAAGUAAUCGGGACUUGGCAAUUCCCCUGCUAUCUACUCAUGUUCCUUACAGUUGUUUACCUAAAUCUAUCAUUUCUUCUAGUUGCAAGAUUAUUUACAUUUGCAGGGACGCAAAGGAUGCUUUUGUUUCUUUGUGGUGCUUUUUUCCGCGCAUCAAAUGUCGAAAAAUGUUGAACCUCUUCCUCUGGAAGAGGCCUUUGAGAUGUUUUGCAACGGAAUUUCAGUCUUGGGACCAUAUUGGGACCAUGUUUUAGGGUAUUGGAGAGCAAGAUUUGAGUUCCCUGAGAAGAUAUUGUUCUUGACAUACGAGGAAAUGAAGAUAGACACCGCUGCUCAUGUUAAGAAACUAGCUGAGUUCAUGGGUUGUUCUUUCACCUUCGAGGAAGAGGAGGAAGGGGAGGUGCAAAAGAUAAUAAGCAUGUGUAGUUUUGAGAAGUUGAGCAACUUUGAGGUGAAUAAAAAUGGGAAGCACCGUCCCGUCCGGACACAUCAAUUGCUAUUCAAAAUAGUUUAUACUUUAGGAAAGGUGAGAUAGGCGACUGGGCAAAUCACUUGACACCUGAGAUGGGAGCGCGUCUAGAUGACAUAAUGGAGCGGAAGCUCAAGGGUUCAGGCUUGAAGCUGCCCAGGUGACCGUGCCUGGGGUCCCAUUUGCAUAUGAUUAUUGCCGAAGUGGGUUCAUCAAAAGGUGUUAUCAGGAUGUCGUGAAACAGCAACUGUGUAUCCCAAUAAAUACCCUCUCUGUUCAUAGCAAGUAUUCACAUUUUGUGAAUCUUCCAUGUCAAUAAGCAAUAUUCUUUUGUGAAUCUGUGUUUGUGACUUUCAUUGAUUUCCUUGCAUGUUUGUAAGAAUUCAAAAUGGGAUUCGUUUUUUUUUUUUAUUUAACACAAGUGCAUGCAUUCCAUUCAUCAGUUUGAUAAAAAAUAAAUUUACUCUAAUAUAUAAUAUUAGAGUGUUUUCUUCACAGAAAUUGCAGUGUGUUUUUCUUCACAGCUAUACAUGUUUGAAAAGAACCGAGACAACCAUACAUGAGGGUGGAGCAAAGACCAACCGAGACAACCAUCCAUUAAGAUUGUUGAAUUGCAGAUCAAAUGAACGUAGGCGGCACAUCUACUGAAAGGAUCUCGAAAUGCCUUGUAAUUGGUUAAAAUAAAAGAUCAAGAUCUGUAGGAGAACUCGUGUUUUCCACUCCUAAAAUAAGCCCAGUUGCCGGCUUCAUUUGCAACAGAGACACAUAAAGAAUCUGAAAGCAGUUCUUAUGCACUAUCAGCAAAAUAAUUUGACCAGUCAGAAUGAUUUUUUUCCCCCUUACUAGGCUCAGAUCACAAUCCUUCUUACUUCAAACAAAUCUUUUGGAACCGAUAUGUCGAGGGAUGGCUUGAUUUAUACCGGAGAUUUUGAUGGAAACUUAAAGAAGCGUGGCUUAAUUAUACCUUGGAUGCGCAAAUUGAUUACAGGGAAAAAAUGACAGAAAGUGAGUUGCAGGGAAUGAAAAAGGCAUUUGUAAACUCAACACCUUUCAGGGCAUCGUUCCUUGGUUUACUCCCUUUUAUUUCUUAUUUUGUUUUUCCUGCCAUUGUCUAAGUUUUUCUAACUCGCAGUCUGGUCUCUGCAGAGAAUGAGACAGCAAAAACGCUUUAAGAGAAGAUAUUCUCCGGCAACGGCAUCAAACAGAAAAGUCUGACAUCAACUAAGUGCGUGUUUGACACUCCGGUUAUGUUUACAUAAAAAACAUCGUUGUCAUGUGUUUGGUUACAGUCUAAACAUAAUUUUCUGUUUGUGAGACCCGUUAUCAUUUGCUUUUAAACCGCAAGAUAACCAAAAGCAACUUCAAGCUGCCUUUUGUGUUGAGUUGCAAACUUUAUAAACAAAGGCCACAAGAAAAAGAGCAGAAACAUAGCAGUGAAUAGUAAACAGUGGAGAGUAGCUCCCUCUCACCACCGGCAUCCACCGUUUCCACCGCCAGCCACUGCUCUUCCUCUUCCCCUUCUCCUUCUCCUUUAUCUUCUGCAUUGUCCACUGUUCACGUUGCAUGUGAACAGUGGAGAGCAGCUCACCACCGGCCUCCGCUGUUUCCACCGCCAGCCACUACUCUUCCUCUUUCCCUUCCCCUUCUUCUUCUUCUUCUACAUUUUCCACUGUUCACAUGAACAGUGGAGAGCAUCUCCACUAUUCAUGGCCGGAUUGGGUCUGACCCAAACCUAAAUGCAUUGGACUGGGUCCGACCAAGUAAAAUAAAAAAAUCUAAAAACAUUUCUUAGAUAUUGUGUUUUAUUUGAAAAACUAGUGUUUAAAAUUAUUCAAUGACACUAUAUAAUUAUAUUAGAAGGAGAUCGCAUGAUGACAUAGCAUUUGCAGAAUUUGAUUGCAAUCCCAAUUUUGUUCCUAAUGAUAUUUUACCUGAUGUGAUGAUAUUUUACCUGAUGUUGGUAUACGUUCAAGAAGCCAUGAAAACUGUAGUUCUUGUCGGAUGGAUUUCGUACGUGAUUGAAUUGCAAAUAGUUUAAUAAAACAAUAAAAAAUACUUUAUAUAAAGUAUUGUUUAUUUCAUGAUUUAAUAGCAGUAGUUAAAUCUAUAAUAUUUCAAUUAAAAACCAUCAAUAUUAAUAUAUGUUUUUUUUAAUUAUUUUAUAACCUUAAUUUGAAAAAUAUUCUUUAAACCAAACACAUUAAACUACUUUUUGUUCAACCUCAAUUUCAACCACAAUUUUAACCAAAUAUAUAUUUUUUCAAACCAAUCUCAACUAAAAGUAAUUUUUAUAAAACAACUUUUUCAAACUAUAACCACAACAGCUACCACAAUACCAAAUACACAUAAAAAAAACUGUAAUGAUAAGCAAGUUAAAGUGCCACCAUUGAUUUAGGAUCUGCUUUAGAUCUUAUAAGGUGAAAGUAAAACACAAGGAAAUGCAUGCAUGCACACCACUAAUCUUUGAUUCUGGCGAGAACAGUGAUGACUACACUCAGAACCAUAUAGAAUUACAUUCCAAGAUGAAGAAAUUAAUAACAGAGCAGUGCUAUAAAGCUAAAUGUGAGAACCAAAGAUUAAUAAGCAAUGCUGAAAAUUUUAUCAUGCAUAAGAUGAGAGAAGCACAGGACAGAUUUUAUCAAAUCUAUAGUUUUUCUUCAAUAAUAAUAAUAUUUUUUAAAAAUUUAAUAAUAAUAAAAAAAAAAAACUCAUGUUCCUUGGCUCUUUCUCUUGCCAAACUGAAGCUACCAUAGUCAAAUCCAAGUAACUUAGAUGUCACGCUCUUGCUAAACCCAAGUUAUUUGGGUAUGACAUCUCAUGCUGGACUCAUAGCAUUCCAGAUCAAAGGUGUUGAUAUCUAACAAUAAUACCUCACCCGAGCCCUAAGAUGUGAUUGCUUUUCUAGACCCGAGGGCCAAGGCACCAAGACACUAUUCACUAUAAGUCAAGUCAAUGAAUCAAUCAAUCGAUUUUAAAGAUCAAGUUUUUUUUUUAAUAGAGAAACAAAACUUUUAUUAACAUUGAAAUAACUCUUAAAAUCUUAAUAAAAUUAAUUUGAAGUAAAAAUAAUAUUAAAAGAAAUAUUCAGAAGCACUUUUUGAUUGUAAAAUCAAACACACUAAAAUCAUGUAGAUUUUCAUUUAGACAUUAAAAUUCAAGAAGAAAUUAAGUUCACAGUACUAUUAAUUCAAUCGAUGAAGGAUUAGACCCAACUACUUUAGGGCCACCAUUGACAUUGAUUACUUUGAAUAAUUUUAAUUUAUAGGCAUAAAAAAUUAAUACAUAUCUUUAAGAGGAUCAAUUUUAGAUUAUCUCUCUCUCUCUCUCUCUAUUUUUUUUUUGGUUUUCAAAUAUUUGACAUUUUCGUUUAGAUAAGCUCUAGUGUGUGUUUUUUUAAGAUUAUUUUAAAUCAUGUUUCUUGAAAUGUCAAAAACAUUUCAUGGAUUAAUUUAACUUAAUAACGCCAAAGAAUUAGGAAUUAAAACUGACAAUUUCCACCAUGUAAGAGUACCUAAUUGAAAAUUUACUUUCUUAUCAUUUACCUCAAUUAAGCGGAAGCAUGAUCAUGAGAAGGGAUUUGGAGAAAGAAUUAUAAACAGAGAAUAAGAGAAAAUGUAAUGUGUAUAGAUUUUCUUAAUGAAUUAAUUAUGAUACAACAGAAGCUCAUAUAUAUAUAUAUAUACAUUCUAAACUAAUCAGUUAUGAAAUGUUAUUACAAAUAUAAUUUGAAUUUCAAUUUUAAAAUCAUGAUUAGUGCAGGUUUAUCAAUGCAGCAGAAUAUCCAUCAUAAACAAGAAGUUCACAGUUACAAAGUUUGAAUCUUUGUAACUGUAACUCUCUUUUGAAACUCUCUUCUUGGUCUUCAAUAUCCGUUAGCUAGCUGGAGAUGUAACAGUUACAAAGUUUGAAUCUUUGUAACUGUAACUCUCUUCUUGGUCUUCAAUGUCUGUCAGUUACAAAGUUUGAAUCUUUGUAACUGUAACUCUCUUAUGCUUAACAUUCCCCUGCAAACUGAUGGGGAUAGGAAUCACCAUCAAUUUGGACCGUAAAAACAUAAACCUUGCUGUAGUAUGACCUUUGGUGAAGACAUCUGCAAUCUGGUCAUAUGUUGAAAUAUAUCGUACAAGAAUAUCCUUAUUAAGAACUUUUUCACGGAUGAAGUGAUAAUCCACCUCUAUGUGCUUCGUUCGGGCAUGAAAAACAGGAUUAGAGGCAAGAGAUAUUGCACCUACAUUAUCACACCAUAGUGUAGGAGGUGACGACAAUGAAAUGCCAAGAUCUUGCAAUAACAUUCGAAGCCAAUAUAGUUCAGCAGUGACAAGAGCCAUGGAUCGAUAUUCGGCCUCAGUACUGGAUUUAGACACAACACUUUGUUUCUUUGCACUCCAGGAUAUGAGAUUUUGGCCUAGAAACACAAUAUAACCACUUGUAGAUUUUCUAUCAUCAGGAUUCCCAGCCCAAUCUGCAUCACAGAAAGCAUCUAAUGUUGUUGUCGAUUGAGUGUAGUGAAUACCAUAAUCAAUUGUUCCUUUCAAGUAACGAAGAACUCUUUUGGUAGCAAUCCAGUGUGGUUCUCGUGGAGCAUGCAUGAAUUGGCAUAAUUGGUUCACUGCAUAGCUGAUGUCAGGUCUUGUUAAAGUGCAAUAUUGAAGAGCACCAAUAACUUGAUGAUAUUCAGUUGGAUCAUUCAAUAUCCGUUAGCUAGCUGGAGAUGUAACAGUUACAAAGUUUGAAUCUUUGUAACUGUAACUCUCUUAUGCUUAACAUUUGGGAGGCACUUAGAUUAGGCUCUUCUCUAGUCUUGAGAAGCAAAACCAAUAGAGACGUGAUUGCGCACUCCCUGAGCUAUAUAGUAAGUGGCUGCAAACAAAUUGUCAGCACCAAUUCAGGUCCGGAAAAUUAAAGCAUUGAAGCAUAAAAGGUGACCUAACCUAAUUAAGCAAAUUACUACUUAUUCCAGCAUCACCUAGGAGUGAGACAGCCAGCCCAUCCAGUGUCUACAUGGUAAGGGAAUAAUUCCUUCAAGAAUGCAGAGAAAAUUAUACUUGCAAUACAACUAUAAACGAGAUGGUACAGUGCGGAAGGCAAGAUGUUAAAUCAAUUGAUCUUAUUAUAAUACUGUGAAAUAUGAUCAGGACAAAAAAAUAAAUAAAGAAAGAAAGAGUUGUUUAUUUUACAAUGAUCGAUAUGAUGCUUCUUUGCAUGUGGAAUCUUCGUCAAAGACUUGUUGAAAAUGCCAAAUUGUGAUCCACUUUUGGCUGUGUCAAAUGCAUGGGUGGGGCUUCACACAGAGCUAUUACCCCUUGUGUAAACUCAACGCCAGUUUUCAUGAGUUCUUUGGGAUUCUAACAUAGUAAAAAAAAGAAAGAUAAAAUAACAAAGUGUAAAGAAUAUUUAGUGAAAUAGAUAUUCGUGAUUAAUCAGUAGCAAUUAUUAUAUGCUGGCUCUCUCGGGUUUACUUGACAGAAGAUUUAUUAAAAAGAGUUGAUAAAGGAGAAAGAAAAGAAAAGAAAAUCUUCAAGGUAUAUCAAAACUCUGAUAAUAAUAUUAUUGGUAUUGUUAAAAAAAUCUCGACAAGACAAAUCGAAAAAUAACAAUGAAGGUCAUCAAUGACGAUAAAAAUAAGUCAUACGAGUGGCCCAAGAUAAGUGAGUUUUAAUACUUUUGAACAGCUUGUAUGAUUCAUUUUAUUCACUAUUUAUAAUCUUUUUUGAUGCUGUUAAAUUCAUCUUGUAAUGAUGUUGAUAAUGUUAUCAUUAUAAUUUCAAUGUAUUUUUAUUUUUAUUAUUAUUUUUUGUUUUGCUCUCUCUCCUCUCUCAUUGUAAUUUAUGAAGAGUAAGAGAGGGGGAAAAAAAAAACCCUAGUCUUCCAAUUUAAUCUGGCUGAAUACUACUAUCUCAAUCUUAUUCACUACUUUGUCAAAGCAAAGUAGAUUUUUCCUUAAAUAAGAUCUAAUCCACCGGCGGAUAGGUGAUCAAGAAUAUUAAAUUAGUGUAAAACUUGAUUUAAUUCAACAUUAUAAUUAGAGGUGCUAUAAUAAUGUGAAAAAAAGAAUAAAAAAACUAGAUGAUGGCGACCACAUAUCAAUAAUUCCAGACAUCACGUGGAGCACUUUCAUCAUCAUUAUUAUUAUUGGUAUAAUAAUGUUUGUUGUAUUAUUUUUUAAUUGUUAAGUUGUUUACUAUAUGUUAAAAUUUCAAGAUCUUCAAAGAUUGGGAAGAUCGGAUCUAAAGUUACUAUGGGACUGUCUUUAUUUUCCUAUUUGGAUUUUUUUAUUUAUAUUAAGAAUUUAAAUUUAAUUAGUAUUUUAUUAUUUAAAAAUUUUAAUGGUAAAUUGAUUCUAUUAGUUAGGUAAAUUUUAAAUAUAAAUUAUUUUUCUAUACAAAAUUUUAAAUCUAGAACUAAUAUAAAUAAAAAUAUUUAGUUUAUUUUUGUUCGAGGAUUCAUAUUAUUAUUUAAAUUUUUUUAUAAAUAUUUAGAGAUUUUUUCUAAUUUCCUAUGGUGUUAGGGAUUAUAACCUUAAGGUUUGGUUUGAAAUAAUGAUGACAGUUAUUUCUUAAAGUGUUUUUCACUUGAAAAUACAUUAAAAUAAUAUUUUUUUUAUUUUUUAAAUUUUUUUUUGAUAUCAGCAUAUCAAAACAAUUCAAAAACACCAAAAACUUAAUUUGAAAAAAAAUCAAAAUUUAUAAAAACCCCGGUUAAAAUGUUUUACCAAACACUUCUUAGUUUUUAAUAUUAAUACAUCAAAACAAUCCAAAAAUAUUAAUUUAAAAUUUUUAAAAACUCCGGUUGCGUUUGUAAGAUGUGUUGCGGCUCUCAACUUGCUACAAUGGCCUUUCUUUAAUAUUUUAUUUACACCAUUCAUGGAACCCUCUUUGCCUUCCACACAAAUCCCGGAUUUUGGUGAAACUGCUAAGAGGAAAAAUGAAGAGCUUUCCAAAGGCCAUGCUAAAACUACAAAGAAGUGAUCUCUACCUUUCCAGAAGUUAAAGGCUUUUGGGACGUUCCGCUCUUCUUGGGAAGACUCAUGUCAGUUCAAGAACACUACAAGCCUCAAUCCACUGAUAUAUUUGUCGCCAGCUUUCCAAAAACGAAGGAAAUCUUUGGUUAAUGUUCUCUGAAUCUCUCCUUUUCUCCUUCAAGAGUGAAAUUUAUGUGCCUUUCGUACCUUUUUACGUUAGAACAUUUCAUUUGUUCUUGUUUUCUAAAUUGAGUCUUUUCUAUGCGUUUUAUUAUUUUAUUUAUUGGGUAUUUGAGAGUGUAGUAAUAGUUAUAAUUUAAAGUGUUUUUAUUCAAAAAUAUAUUAAAAUAAUAUAUAUUUUUAAUUUUUUAAUAUUCAUCUUUUGACAACAUCACUCCAAAACAUUAGAAAACAUAAAAAAAAAAAAAACAAUUAGAAAACAAUUAGAAAACGCAAGAUUGCAUCAAUGCUAAAUGCAAUAUAUAUAUAUAGGUGCGCGCGCGCGCGUGUGUGAGAGAGAGAGAGAUCCACCUGUGUGUGAAAUGCAUAGUGAUGUUCCACAGCGAGCCAUUAUCUAUUAUGUAAAAUCUCUGAGAAAUGUCAUAGAUCAAUUGGUCGAUAUAGCAAAUUGAUAGGUUAAAGCUGCUCAUAAUCAAUACCUCUAAAAGAUUAUCUUUGGUGGAGAUGAAAACUUUUUGAUAUGUAAAUAAGUAUUUAAAAAAAAAUUAAAUAUUCUAUAAAGAGAUGUUCUGAAAAUACAAAUGCAGUAGAGAAUUGGAGAUUGUGAAUCUUUAUUAUGAAGGUCUCAUGAUAUAUUUAUAGCUCGAAUCUUGUCAUUUUGUGAAAAUAAGAGUUUGCAGUGUAAUUAACCUGAUAACAUUUAAUGAGGAAUAAAUAUCAUUUACAUGAUGGGAAUAUGGUGGGUCCUCGAAGGAGUUUUAUACACCUUAAAAGGUAUCAGAAAAUUAGAGUUUAAGAUAUCAAGUGUAGCUGAGCUUAUAGAGAUCAAGUUCUUUCUUGAGAUUAAAUCCAAGGGAGGUUUGUCAUUCCCCUGGACAUGCCAAGGAAGAAUGGUUAUUAUCUUGGACUUGGUUGGUUGCCAAAUCCAAGCAUCUUGGGCAUGACAUGCGUGCCAGAUCCACACUACCUUGAAGUUGGAGCACUACUAAGUCCAAGCGCCUCGGGUCUGACAUGCAUGCCAGACUUAUACUACGCUGGACUUGGUGCAUUACUAAGUCCAAAUGCCUUGGGUCUGAUAUGCCUGUUAGACCUAUAUUAUCUUGGGCUUGACGCAUUACUAUAUUCAAGCACCUUGAACUUAAUUAAUUGUCAAGUCCAUGCAUCUUAGAUUUAGAUCUAACAUAUACACUAGACUCAUAUUACAUUGAAUCUAGCGCAUUACAAAGUUAUAAUGCCUUGAAUUAAGUAUAUGUGCCACAUCCAUACAUUUUAAAAAACCAAACGAAAACUAAAUAAAAAGUUGACUCAUCGCUAAUCUAUAAAUACUAUCUACAUAAUGGCCUUAGUUGAUAUCUUCUACCGCUUACUACAUUUACUUGAAUAAUGAAAAUGUUUUUUUUUUUUAAUGGAAAAGAGAUUUUAACUCCAUCUUCAAUUACUAUAUAAAUGUUUCCUUGGGUUUUGAAAACGCAAUCAUGCUAAAAAUUUAUUAUCUAAUAUAAAAUAAAAUGUAUUUGUUUUUAUAUUUUAAAAAUGUUUUUUUUUUAAUUUUUUAAUUUUCAUCUUGUUUUGAUGUGUUAAUAUUAAUAAUAAAUUUUAAAAAUAAAAAAAAUAUUAUUUUAAUAUAUUUUUUAAAUUAAAAAUAUUUUAAAAAAUAACUAUUACAACAUUAACGAAUAAGAUUUAAUAUAAAAAACAUUCUAAUUGCAUCAGCUGAGAGGUGAUCAACAAUACCGCAUUCCCGAACUUCACAUCCCUAUAUUAAUGGAUUGUGUUGUGGGCUCCACGCCAUUUAAAGCUUGUAAGAGAAACCACACCUCUAAAUAGAAACCACACGAUCACGCUAAAAGAUUUGCUAUCGAAUAUAAUAUGAAAUAAAACCCAAUUGCAUCAGCGGACAUGUGAUCAAUAAUAUUAAAAUAAGGUAAUAGUUGAUGGGCCACAAAUUAAACCAGCUCUCAACUCGCUACAAAUAGCUGCCAUGGCCUUUCAUUCUACGUUAUAUUUUCAUUUUUUACAUUCAUGGAAUCCUCUUUGCCUUCCACCCAAAUCUCGGAUUCUGGUGACAGUGCAGAGAGGAAAAAUGAAGCUAAAAAUUACAAUGAAGUGAUGUCCACCUUUCCGAAAGUUAAAGGCUUGAAUGGGUAUGAUUAUUACCUGUACCAAGGCUUUUGGUACGCUCCCUUCUUCUUGGAAGGACUCUUGUCUGUUCAAGAGCGCUUCAAUCCUCAAUCCACUGAUAUAUUUGUCGCCAGUUGUCCAAAAACUGGCACAACUUGGCUUAAGGCCCUCACUUUUGCUAUUUUCACACGAUCCCGUUUAAGUGGUUCAACAACUAGUUCUUUACUUACCAAGAUGCCACAUGACUGUGUUCCUUUUUUGGAAUAUCACCUUGCUCAAAACCCCAGUAAUCGGGACUUGGCAAUUCCUCUGGUAUCUACUCAUGUUCCUUGCACUUGUUUACCUAAAUCUAUCAUUUCUUCUUGUUGCAAGAUUAUUUACAUUUCCAGGGACGCAAAGGAUGCUUUUGUUUCUUUGUGGUACUUUCUUGCCAGGCUGCAAAUGUCGAAAAAUGUUGAACCUCUUCCUCUGGAAGAGGCAUUUGAGUUGUUUUGCAAUGGAAUUGCAAAUUUUGGACCAUAUUGGGACCAUGUUUUAGGGUAUUGGAGAGCAAGCUUCGAGUUCCCUGAUAUUGUUCUUGACAUACGAGGAAAUGAAGAAAGACACCGCUGCUCAUGUUAAGAAACUAGCUGAGUUCAUGGGUUGUUCUUUCUGUUGCAUUAAACUCAAUCUAGAAGGUUAAGGAAGGCAACCACCACUUGCAGCCACUAGCUGUCACCGCCUAGCCGCCAGCCGUCUUCAUACUUGAAAGUUGAAUUAUCUUGUUUUUGAAUUCUGUGUAUAAAUAGAUAGCUAAGUGGAUGUUAUUCUGUGUGGAAAGAGAAGAAAGAAACACUAGAGAGAAAGAGAGAGGGAGUGUGUAGCUUUUGUUUAAUUAUUGUAAGCUUUUAUUGUUGAAAUAAAACAGUGUGUUUUAUCUCUUCUGAGUGUUUCAAAGCCACCACCAGUGGUUUCUCCCACCAACAAUUGGUAUCAGAGCCUCGUUCGUCACAAAACACAAGUAUUUUGGGAGAUACACGAAUUUUCAAAGUUGUCAAAAACAAUUUUUGAUCAUUCCACAAUGUAGAGCUCAUCCAUACGAACUCACUGGUGCAAAAAUCAGCUUCAUCGGAGCCCGAGGUGAUCCCCACGCGCCUCCUGAAAUUCCGGUAACUGUAGCCCAGUCUCACCCACGCGCUCCAGAGGUUGAAGACGCCAGAGGUUGAAGACGAGUGUCGUCCACGCGCGCCAUAUUCGAGCCGAUCCCCAGCCGAGCCGAUCUUUAGCCUCAGCCGAGCCGAUAGAAUAUUCCCCAGAAUAUUCCCGGUUCAACCCCAGCGAACCGCCUAACGUCCAGAAUCGGUUUUCAGACCGGUUCAGCCUAUUUCUGACCCAUUUUCAUCCAAGUCAGGCCGGUUCCCUACUGUUUUGAGCAUUCUGGAUCCAUCUACGGUGUCUGUUUUGCCAAAUUCAACUCCCAGAAGGUGAUAUAGUCAUUCAAAAAGCAAAAUGACUACAGAAAAUGCACAAACACUCAUCCCGAAGCUGACCAAAGACAACUAUGAUAGUUGGUGUAUCAGAUUGAAGGCAUUUCUUGGUUUACAAGAGUGUAUAGAGAUUGUGCAAUAUGGUUAUGAUGAACCAGAGUCUAAAGAAGUAGAAGAUACUUUAAAUGAGGCAGAAAAGCAAGUCCUCAAAGCAAAUAGAAAGAAAGACAACAAAGCAAAGACCAUAAUCUAUCAAGGUCUUGACGAAGCUAUAUUCGAAAUUAUUGCUUCCGCAGAAACAUCAAAAGAGAUAUGGGAGGCUCUCCAACAAAAAUACAAAGGUGCUGACAGAAUCAAGAAGAUUCGUCUCCAAUCUUUGCGAGGUGAGUUUGAAUUAUUGCAAAUGAAGGCCUUAGAAUCUAUUUUUGACUAUCACACAAGAAUUAUGGUGAUAGUCAAUCAGAUGAGAAGAAAUGGAGAAGCCCUCACAGAUGCUCGGAUUACAGAGAAAAUUUUGAGAUCCCUAUAUCCAAAAUUUUAUUUUGUUGUUGUCGUUAUUGAAGAGUCCAAAGAAGUGGACAAGUUGAUGGUGGAUGAGCUUAUGAGUUCUUUGCAAGCUCAUGAGCAAAAGAUCGUGAAAAGAAAUGGAGAUAAGGCAAUUGAGCAUGCCUUACAAGCAAAGUUGUCUCUCAAAGACAGAUAUGAGCAAGGGGAGACUUCAAUAAGUGGAUAUACCACUCAAGGAAGAAGUCCACAAAGACGAGGAGGAUUUCAGCAAUUCCAAGGAAGAGGAUCUUGGAAUACAGGUUUUAGAGGAAGAGGUGGCAGAUAUACCACUAGAGGAGGCCGAGGACAACAAUCAUUCACUCCUAAAGGAAGAGGAGGCGGUUACAAUAACCGUGACAAGAGGAAUAUCCAGUGUUAUAAGUGCAAUCAAUUUGGGCACUAUAGCAUUGAAUGUCAAAGGAAAGCUCCAUUAGAGGUACGUGAGCAUGCAAACUAUGCAGAGGAGGAUGCCAACAGCAGAGGAGCAGCUGCAUUAUUUGUCCAACAAGGACUUGACAAGAAUCAAGAGAAUAUUUGGUAUCUUGAUUCUGGAGCCAGCAAUCACAUGUGUGGCCAACGAGAUCUAUUUGGCGAUCUAGAUGAGACCAUACAAGGUCUAGUCACCUUUGGAGAUACAUCAAAAGUUCCAUUCAAAGGUAAAGGCAACAUCCCAAUCAAGUUGAAGAAUGGCGAUCAUAGCUACAUCGCCAAUGUCUACUAUGUCCCAGCCAUAAAGCAAAACUUGGUGAGCAUAGGUCAACUUCUAAAGAAAGGUUAUACACUUUUCAUGAAGAAUUGUCAUCUGACAGUUACAGACUACAAUGGGAGAUUAAUUGCCUAUGUGAAAAUGUCCAAGAAUAGGAUGUUUCCUUUAAACAUCCAAUAUGAUGCAGCAAAGUAUUUGAGUGCCAUCACCAACAGUGAAGAGUGGCUUUGGCACCUGAGGCUUGGACAUCUGAAUUUCACAAGUCUGAAGAUGCUAGCAAGCAAGAAGAUGGUCAAAGGUAUGCCCCACAUUGAUCAUCCAGAUGAAGUCUGUGAGAGUUGUGUCCUCAGCAAACAUCACAGAUCCAAUUUUGCCAAAGAAGUCAACUGGAAAGCAAACAAGCCACUGGAGUUAGUGCACACAGAUGUGUGUGGUCCCAUAAAGCCUAUGUCGACUGGACCAAAUAGGUACUUCCUUACUUUCAUUGAUGAUUUUAGCAGAAAGACGUGGAUAUACUUUCUGAAGAGGAAGUUAGAAGUGUUCAAUUGUUUUAAAGAUUUUAAAGCAAUUGUUGAGAAGCAAAGUGGCUAUAAGAUCAGAACCGUGAGAUCUGAUCAAGGUGGAGAAUAUACAGCAAAUGACUUUGAAGCCUUUUGUACACAACAAGGCAUCAAACAUCAGACAACACCAGCUUAUACACCACAGCUGAAUGGUGUAGCUGAAAGAAAGAAUCGAACGAUUCUUGACAUGGCGAGAAGUCUACUCAAAGCAAAGAAGCUGCCCAAACAAUACUAGGCUGAAGCUGUAUCAUGUGCAGUGUAUCUACUGAAUCGCUGCCCAACCAAAAGUUUGCAAGCUGUCACUCCACAAGAAGCAUGGAGUGGUCACAAACCAAGUGUUACUCAUCUUCGAGUCUUUGGUUGUGUGGCAUAUGCAAAGAUCCCAGAUGCAAGAAGGACCAAACUCGAUGAUAAAAGCGAGAAAUGCAUCUUUGUCGGAUAUGGUGAGAGAAAGAUGGGAUACAAGCUGUAUAAUCUCAUCACAAAGAAGGUAAUUAUGAGUAGAGAUGUUAUCUUUGAAGAAGAUAAAACAUGGCAAUGGAAGGAUGACCAAGAAGCAGUCAAAUGGAUCAGCACUGAUUUGAUCCUUGAAGAUGAAGUGGAAGUACCACCAGUACUUGCAGAAGGUCUGAUAUUACCGGCAGAUGAGCCACAAAGUUCGGUACACAGAUUCCCUGUAUUCAACAGGAGAAACACACCAGAAUCAUCAUCAGCAUCCUCAUCAGAAGGACCAAGAAGGAUGAGAAAUCUAGACGAGUUGUACGAUGUCAUGCAAGUCAUGGAAGAUACAACUCUAUUUUGUUUCUUUACAGAUACUGACCCACUUAGCUUCAAUGAAGUUAUCAAAGAAGAGAAGUGGAUAUAAGCAAUGGAUGAAGAAAUACAUGCUAUUGAGAAGAAUGACACCUGGAAGCUGACUAAUCUACUAGAAAACAAGAAAGCAAUAGGUGCCAAAUGGGUCUAUAAGACAAAGAAGAAUGCAAAAGGAGAAGUGCAAAGAUACAAAGCAAGAUUAGUAGCAAAAGGCUACAAAUAAAGAGAAGGCAUUGACUAUGGAGAAGUAUUUGCUCCAGUAGCCCGGCUAGAGACAAUCAGACUGAUGAUCUCACUAGCUGCACAACAUAGAUGGAAGAUCUAUUAACUCGAUGUGAAGUCAGCAUUUCUGAAUGGCUUCCUAGAAGAAGAGAUCUAUGUUGAACAACCACUUGGAUACAUCGAAGCUGAAAAUGACGGCAAAGUAUACAAGUUGAAGAAAGCUCUCUACGGUUUGAAGCAAGUUCCGCGUGCUUGGAAUACCAGAAUUGACAGGUAUUUUCAAGAAAAUGAAUUUGAAAAAUGUCCAUAUGAACACGCAAUAUAUGUGAAGAAAGAAGCAGAUAACAACAUAUUAUUUGUGUGCCUAUAUGUUGAUGAUUUGCUAUUCACCGGCAACAACCCAACCAUGUUUGAAGCCUUCAAGAAAAGCAUGGUACAAGAGUUUGAGAUGACAGACAUUGGUCUGAUGGCACACUUUCUUGGCUUAGAAGUGGUGCAGAAAGAAGAAGGGAUUUUUGUAUCCCAAAGCAGUUAUGCCAAAGACAUUCUUGAAAGGUUCAAGAUGGAAAGCUGCAAUCCGGUAUCAACUCCAGUUGAGAAUGGAGUAGAAUUGAGGAAGAGUAAAGUUGGAAAUGUUGAUCCAACUUACUUCAAAAGCUUAGUAGGAAGCUUAAGGUACUUGACAUGUACCAGACCGGAUAUACUCUACGGAGUUGGUCUUAUCAGCAGAUACAUGGAGACACCAGACCAGUCUCACUUGAAUGCAGCCAAGAGAAUUCUUCGCUACAUCAAAGGAACAAUCAAUGAAGGUAUGUUUUAUACCUCAAGUACAAACUUCAAUCUUGUUGGCUACUCGGAUAGUGAUUGGGGUAGAGAUCUGGAUGAAAGGAAAAGCACAACAGGGUUUGUCUUUUUCAUGGGAAAUACAUUUUUCACAUGGUCAUCCAAGAAGCAAUCGAUAGUAACGUUAUCAAGCUGUGAAGCUGAGUAUGUUGCUGCCAACUCAGCUGUAUGCCAUUUAAUAUGGUUAAGAAAUAUGCUGAAGCAUUUGGGAUUUCCUCAAGAAGAUCCCACAGAGAUUUAUAUUGAUAAUCGAUCAGCGAUUGCAUUAGCAAAGAACCCGGUGUAUCAUGAACGAAGUAAACACAUUGAUACACGUCAACACUUUAUCCGAGAGCAUAUAAAGAACAAAGAAGUCGAGCUGAUAUCCUGCAAGACAAAUGAUCAAGUUGCAGAUAUCUUUACAAAGCCAUUGAAGGGAGAAACAUUUAUCAGACUGAAGUUCAUACUUGGCGUGACAUCCCUCGAUUAAGUUUAAAGGGGGGAUUUGUUGCAUUAAACUCAAUCUAGAAGGUCAAGGAAGGCAACCACCACUUGCAACCACCAGCUGUCACCGCCCAGCCACAAACCGCCCAGCCGCCAGCCACUAGCUGUAUGCCGCCAGCCUCCAGCCGCCUUCACACUUGAAGGUUGAAUUAUCUUGUUUUUGAAUUCGUGUAUAAAUAGGUAGCUAAGUGGAUGUUAUUCUGUGUGGAAAGAGAAGAAAGAAACACUAGAGAGAAAAGAGAGGGAGUGUGUAGCUUUUGUUUAAUUAUUGUAAGCUUUUAUUGUUGAAAUAAAACAGUGUGUUUUAUCCCCUCUGAGUGUUUCAAAGCCACCACCAGUGGUUUCUCCCACCAACACUUUCACCUUAGAGGAAGAGGAGGAAGGGGAGGUGCAAAAGAUAAUAAGCAUGUGUAGUUUUGAGAAGUUGAGCAACUUGGAGGUGAAUAAAAAUGGGAAGCACCGUCCGGACACAUCAAUUGCUAUUCAAAACAGUGUAUACUUCAGGAGAGGUGAGAUAGGCGACUGGGCAAAUCACUUGACACCUGAAAUGGGAGCACGUCUAGAUGACAUAAUGGAGCAGAAACUCAAGGGUUCAGGCUUGAAGCUGCCGAGGUGAAUGUGCCUAGGGUCCCAUUUGCUUGUGAUUAUUGCCGAAGCGGGUUCAUCAAAAGCUGUUAUCAACAUCUCGUGAAACAGCAACUGUGUAUCCCAAUAAAUACCCUCUCUGUUCAUCUCUUGUAUUUCCCAGCAAGUAUUCACAUUUUGUGAAUCAUCCAUGUCAAUAAGCA